This 510-nucleotide ribosomal RNA is filed under the name Legionella pneumophila. Its description in RNAcentral is "partial 23S ribosomal RNA". It matches the Rfam family "Bacterial large subunit ribosomal RNA", at positions 363 to 872 of the family's 2925-position model. Lineage: Bacteria; Pseudomonadati; Pseudomonadota; Gammaproteobacteria; Legionellales; Legionellaceae. The record is from RNAcentral.
GGUGAAAGCCCCGUAUACGAAGGUUUGAUGAGGAACUAGGCACGCGAGCAAGUAGGCCGGGACACGUGAAAUCCUGGUUGAAGAUGGGUGGACCAUCAUCCAAGGCUAAAUACUACUUACUGACCGAUAGUGAACCAGUACCGUGAGGGAAAGGUGAAAAGAACCCCGGAGAGGGGAGUGAAAUAGAAUCUGAAACCGUUUGCGUACAAGCAGUGGGAGCAUGGUUUAGGCUGUGUGACUGCGUACCUUUUGUAUAAUGGGUCAGCGAGUUACUUUCAGUGGCGAGGUUAACUGCAUAAGGGAGCCGUAGAGAAAUCGAGUCUGAAUAGGGCGAUAGUCGCUGGGAGUAGACCCGAAACCGGGCGAUCUAGCCAUGUGCAGGAUGAAGGUUGGGUAACACCAACUGGAGGUCCGAACCGGGUAAUGUUGAAAAAUUAUCGGAUGACGUGUGGCUAGGAGUGAAAGGCUAAUCAAGCCCGGAGAUAGCUGGUUCUCCCCGAAAGCUAUUUA